GAUGAACGCUAGCGACAGGCCUAACACAUGCAAGUCGAGGGGCAGCACAAGGAGCAAUCUGAGGUGGCGACCGGCGCACGGGUGAGUAACACGUAUGCAACCUGCCUUCAACAAGGGGAUAACCCGUUGAAAGACGGACUAAUACCCUAUAACACAGGGGUCCCGCAUGGGAAUAUUUGUUAAAGGACAACCGGUUGAAGAUGGGCAUGCGUUCCAUUAGCUAGUUGGCGGGGUAACGGCCCACCAAGGCAACGAUGGAUAGGGGAACUGAGAGGUUUAUCCCCCACACUGGUACUGAGACACGGACCAGACUCCUACGGGAGGCAGCAGUGAGGAAUAUUGGUCAAUGGACGCAAGUCUGAACCAGCCACGUCGCGUGAAGGAAGACGGCCCUA
This 395-nucleotide ribosomal RNA is filed under the name uncultured bacterium. RNAcentral's name for it is "bacterial SSU rRNA". It matches the Rfam family "Bacterial small subunit ribosomal RNA", at positions 28 to 419 of the family's 1533-position model. The record is from RNAcentral.